CGGUCAGGUGCAGCAGGCGACGCCGGCCGUGCACCUCGAUCAGGUGCUCGGUCGCGGCCCGGGAGGCCGACCGGUCGUCCACGCCGAUCGUGAUCGC
This 97-nucleotide transfer RNA is filed under the name Paractinoplanes toevensis. RNAcentral's name for it is "Actinoplanes toevensis tRNA-Ile". The record is from RNAcentral. Lineage: Bacteria; Bacillati; Actinomycetota; Actinomycetes; Micromonosporales; Micromonosporaceae.